UCGUCUGCGGUGUAUCAGAGAUUAGUUUACUUUCUUUUACUAAACAAUGCAUUAUCUCCUCUGCUACUGCUGUUGUUCUGUGUAUCUUUGUAAUUUUGAAAUGUACUUUAUUUUAGGUAUUCAAGAAAUGGCAACAUCCAGAAGAAGACGCCAUCUUAUCCAGCACGUUAUGGGUACACUCUGGUGGCUCCCGCCCCUGCAUCCUACGACCACCGUGUCCUCACUAUGUUCACUAGGGAGUUCGAAGCCUUUGGCGGCUCCUGCCACUGCGUCCUGCCACCACCGUGUCCUGACUACGUCCACUAGGGAGUUGGCAGCCUUCGUGAUGAUGCCAAGCAGGCUGGAAGCUGACAGAAAGAUCGAGGUUACCUCGAAAUCUUACCCAAGCCGUGCCACACACUUGGGCCAGGCCUCUUGCAAACGACGUAUAACCAGGCUCAACGCAUGAUGUCGAGUGAGUCCGGAGAUCGAGGCAACCUGCUGUGCAACCAGCGUGCAACCUUUGGUGACCCUCAAC
Long non-coding RNA from Dermacentor albipictus, 517 nucleotides. RefSeq lists it as uncharacterized. Lineage: Eukaryota; Metazoa; Arthropoda; Arachnida; Ixodida; Ixodidae. The record is from RefSeq and is a predicted model, not a curated record.